CACGUAGGGGCCAAGCGUUGUCCGGAUUUAUUGGGCGUAAAGAGCUCGUAGGCGGUUCAGUCAGUUGGGUGUGAAAACUCCGGGCUUAACUCGGAGAGGCCACCCAAUACUGCUGUGACUUGAGUCCGGUAGGGGAGUGGGGAAUUCCUGGUGUAGCGGUGAAAUGCGUAGAUAUCUGAAGGAACAUCAGUGGCGAAAGCGACUUCCUGGACCAAUACUGACGCUCAUGUGCGAAAGCGUGGGGAGCAAACAGG
RNAcentral lists this ribosomal RNA (254 nucleotides) under uncultured bacterium. RNAcentral's name for it is "partial 16S ribosomal RNA". It matches the Rfam family "Bacterial small subunit ribosomal RNA", at positions 524 to 776 of the family's 1533-position model. The record is from RNAcentral.